AUGAGCACCAGGGCCCUCGCUCUCGGCGCGGCUGUCGUCCUCGCCUUCGCCGCGGCGACCGCGCACGCCCAGAGGUGCGGCGAGCAGGGCAGCGGCAUGGAGUGCCCUAACAACCUCUGCUGCAGCCAGUACGGGUACUGCGGCAUGGGCGGCGACUACUGCGGCAACGGCUGCCAGAACGGCGCCUGCUACACCAGCAAGCGCUGCGGCACCCAGGCCGCCGGCGCGACCUGCCCUAACAACCACUGCUGCAGCCAGUAUGGGCACUGCGGCUUCGGCGAGGAGUACUGCGGCGCCGGCUGCCAGGGCGGCCCCUGCCGCGCCAACAUCAAGUGCGGCAGCCAGGCCGGUGGCAAGCUAUGCCCCAACAACCUCUGCUGCAGCCAGUGGGGUUACUGCGGCCUCGGUUCCGAGUUCUGCAGCAACGGCUGCCAAAGCGGCGCCUGCAGCUCCUCCAAGCCGUGCGGUAAGGACAAUGGUGGCAGGGUUUGCACUAACAACUAUUGUUGUAGUCAGUGGGGCCAUUGUGGCAUCGGCCCGGGCUACUGUGGUGCAGGCUGCCAGAGCGGCGGCUGCGACGCUGUCUUCGCCGACGCUAUCACCGCCAACUCCACCCUUCUCAGAGAGUGA
RNAcentral lists this ribosomal RNA (630 nucleotides) under Triticum aestivum (bread wheat). RNAcentral's name for it is "partial small subunit ribosomal RNA". Lineage: Eukaryota; Viridiplantae; Streptophyta; Magnoliopsida; Poales; Poaceae. The record is from RNAcentral.